Molecule: ribosomal RNA, 444 nt
Filed under: uncultured bacterium
Lineage: Bacteria
Description: bacterial SSU rRNA
Rfam family: Bacterial small subunit ribosomal RNA
Source: RNAcentral
CCUACGGGAUGCAGCAGUGGGGAAUCUUGGACAAUGGGCGAAAGCCCGAUCCAGCAAUAUCGCGUGAGUGAAGAAGGGCUAUGCCGCUUGUAAAGCUCUUUCGUCGAGUGCGCGAUCAUGACAGGACUCGAGGAAGAAGCCCCGGCUAACUUCGUGCCAGCAGCCGCGGUAAUACGAAGGGGGCUAGCGUUGCUCGGAAUGACUGGGCGUAAAGGGCACGUAGGCGGUUUAUGCAGUCAGAUGUGGAAUCCCCGGGCUUAACCUGGGAACUGCAUUUGAGAGGCAUAGACUAGAGGUCGAGAGAGGGUUGUGGAAUUCCCAGUGUAGAGGUGAAAUUCGUAGAUAUUGGGAAGAACACCGGUGGCGAAGGCGGCAACCUGGCUCGAUACUGACGCUGAGGCGCGAAAGCGUGGGGAGCAAACAGGAUUAGAUACCCGCGUAGUC